Molecule: ribosomal RNA, 2032 nt
Filed under: Escherichia coli
Lineage: Bacteria; Pseudomonadati; Pseudomonadota; Gammaproteobacteria; Enterobacterales; Enterobacteriaceae
Description: partial 23S ribosomal RNA
Rfam family: Bacterial large subunit ribosomal RNA
Source: RNAcentral
ACCGGGAGAUAGCUGGUUCUCCCCGAAAGCUAUUUAGGUAGCGCCUCGUGAAUUCAUCUCCGGGGGUAGAGCACUGUUUCGGCAAGGGGGUCAUCCCGACUUACCAACCCGAUGCAAACUGCGAAUACCGGAGAAUGUUAUCACGGGAGACACACGGCGGGUGCUAACGUCCGUCGUGAAGAGGGAAACAACCCAGACCGCCAGCUAAGGUCCCAAAGUCAUGGUUAAGUGGGAAACGAUGUGGGAAGGCCCAGACAGCCAGGAUGUUGGCUUAGAAGCAGCCAUCAUUUAAAGAAAGCGUAAUAGCUCACUGGUCGAGUCGGCCUGCGCGGAAGAUGUAACGGGGCUAAACCAUGCACCGAAGCUGCGGCAGCGACGCUUAUGCGUUGUUGGGUAGGGGAGCGUUCUGUAAGCCUGUGAAGGUGUGCUGUGAGGCAUGCUGGAGGUAUCAGAAGUGCGAAUGCUGACAUAAGUAACGAUAAAGCGGGUGAAAAGCCCGCUCGCCGGAAGACCAAGGGUUCCUGUCCAACGUUAAUCGGGGCAGGGUGAGUCGACCCCUAAGGCGAGGCCGAAAGGCGUAGUCGAUGGGAAACAGGUUAAUAUUCCUGUACUUGGUGUUACUGCGAAGGGGGGACGGAGAAGGCUAUGUUGGCCGGGCGACGGUUGUCCCGGUUUAAGCGUGUAGGCUGGUUUUCCAGGCAAAUCCGGAAAAUCAAGGCUGAGGCGUGAUGACGAGGCACUACGGUGCUGAAGCAACAAAUGCCCUGCUUCCAGGAAAAGCCUCUAAGCAUCAGGUAACAUCAAAUCGUACCCCAAACCGACACAGGUGGUCAGGUAGAGAAUACCAAGGCGCUUGAGAGAACUCGGGUGAAGGAACUAGGCAAAAUGGUGCCGUAACUUCGGGAGAAGGCACGCUGAUAUGUAGGUGAGGUCCCUCGCGGAUGGAGCUGAAAUCAGUCGAAGAUACCAGCUGGCUGCAACUGUUUAUUAAAAACACAGCACUGUGCAAACACGAAAGUGGACGUAUACGGUGUGACGCCUGCCCGGUGCCGGAAGGUUAAUUGAUGGGGUUAGCGGUAACGCGAAGCUCUUGAUCGAAGCCCCGGUAAACGGCGGCCGUAACUAUAACGGUCCUAAGGUAGCGAAAUUCCUUGUCGGGUAAGUUCCGACCUGCACGAAUGGCGUAAUGAUGGCCAGGCUGUCUCCACCCGAGACUCAGUGAAAUUGAACUCGCUGUGAAGAUGCAGUGUACCCGCGGCAAGACGGAAAGACCCCGUGAACCUUUACUAUAGCUUGACACUGAACAUUGAGCCUUGAUGUGUAGGAUAGGUGGGAGGCUUUGAAGUGUGGACGCCAGUCUGCAUGGAGCCGACCUUGAAAUACCACCCUUUAAUGUUUGAUGUUCUAACGUUGACCCGUAAUCCGGGUUGCGGACAGUGUCUGGUGGGUAGUUUGACUGGGGCGGUCUCCUCCUAAAGAGUAACGGAGGAGCACGAAGGUUGGCUAAUCCUGGUCGGACAUCAGGAGGUUAGUGCAAUGGCAUAAGCCAGCUUGACUGCGAGCGUGACGGCGCGAGCAGGUGCGAAAGCAGGUCAUAGUGAUCCGGUGGUUCUGAAUGGAAGGGCCAUCGCUCAACGGAUAAAAGGUACUCCGGGGAUAACAGGCUGAUACCGCCCAAGAGUUCAUAUCGACGGCGGUGUUUGGCACCUCGAUGUCGGCUCAUCACAUCCUGGGGCUGAAGUAGGUCCCAAGGGUAUGGCUGUUCGCCAUUUAAAGUGGUACGCGAGCUGGGUUUAGAACGUCGUGAGACAGUUCGGUCCCUAUCUGCCGUGGGCGCUGGAGAACUGAGGGGGGCUGCUCCUAGUACGAGAGGACCGGAGUGGACGCAUCACUGGUGUUCGGGUUGUCAUGCCAAUGGCACUGCCCGGUAGCUAAAUGCGGAAGAGAUAAGUGCUGAAAGCAUCUAAGCACGAAACUUGCCCCGAGAUGAGUUCUCCCUGACUCCUUGAGAGUCCUGAAGGAACGUUGAAGA